Molecule: ribosomal RNA, 2754 nt
Filed under: Escherichia coli
Lineage: Bacteria; Pseudomonadati; Pseudomonadota; Gammaproteobacteria; Enterobacterales; Enterobacteriaceae
Description: 23S ribosomal RNA
Rfam family: Bacterial large subunit ribosomal RNA
Source: RNAcentral
UUAAGCGACUAAGCGUACACGGUGGAUGCCCUGGCAGUCAGAGGCGAUGAAGGACGUGCUAAUCUGCGAUAAGCGUCGGUAAGGUGAUAUGAACCGUUAUAACCGGCGAUUUCCGAAUGGGGAAACCCAGUGUGNUGUGUGUUAGUGGAAGCGUCUGGAAAGGCGCGCGAUACAGGGUGACAGCCCCGUACACAAAAAUGCACAUGCUGUGAGCUCGAUGAGUAGGGCGGGACACGUGGUAUCCUGUCUGAAUAUGGGGGGACCAUCCUCCAAGGCUAAAUACUCCUGACUGACCGAUAGUGAACCAGUACCGUGAGGGAAAGGCGAAAAGAACCCCGGCGAGGGGAGUGAAAAAGAACCUGAAACCGUGUACGUACAAGCAGUGGGAGCACGCUUAGGCGUGUGACUGCGUACCUUUUGUAUAAUGGGUCAGCGACUUAUAUUCUGUAGCAAGGUUAACCGAAUAGGGGAGCCGAAGGGAAACCGAGUCUUAACUGGGCGUUAAGUUGCAGGGUAUAGACCCGAAACCCGGUGAUCUAGCCAUGGGCAGGUUGAAGGUUGGGUAACACUAACUGGAGGACCGAACCGACUAAUGUUGAAAAAUUAGCGGAUGACUUGUGGCUGGGGGUGAAAGGCCAAUCAAACCGGGAGAUAGCUGGUUCUCCCCGAAAGCUAUUUAGGUAGCGCCUCGUGAAUUCAUCUCCGGGGGUAGAGCACUGUUUCGGCAAGGGGGUCAUCCCGACUUACCAACCCGAUGCAAACUGCGAAUACCGGAGAAUGUUAUCACGGGAGACACACGGCGGGUGCUAACGUCCGUCGUGAAGAGGGAAACAACCCAGACCGCCAGCUAAGGUCCCAAAGUCAUGGUUAAGUGGGAAACGAUGUGGGAAGGCCCAGACAGCCAGGAUGUUGGCUUAGAAGCAGCCAUCAUUUAAAGAAAGCGUAAUAGCUCACUGGUCGAGUCGGCCUGCGCGGAAGAUGUAACGGGGCUAAACCAUGCACCGAAGCUGCGGCAGCGACGCUNAUGCGUUGUUGGGUAGGGGAGCGUUCUGUAAGCCUGCGAAGGUGUGCUGUGAGGCAUGCUGGAGGUAUCAGAAGUGCGAAUGCUGACAUAAGUAACGAUAAAGCGGGUGAAAAGCCCGCUCGCCGGAAGACCAAGGGUUCCUGUCCAACGUUAAUCGGGGCAGGGUGAGUCGACCCCUAAGGCGAGGCCGAAAGGCGUAGUCGAUGGGAAACAGGUUAAUAUUCCUGUACUUGGUGUUACUGCGAAGGGGGGACGGAGAAGGCUAUGUUGGCCGGGCGACGGUUGUCCCGGUUUAAGCGUGUAGGCUGGUUUUCCAGGCAAAUCCGGAAAAUCAAGGCUGAGGCGUGAUGACGAGGCACUACGGUGCUGAAGCAACAAAUGCCCUGCUUCCAGGAAAAGCCUCUAAGCAUCAGGUAACAUCAAAUCGUACCCCAAACCGACACAGGUGGUCAGGUAGAGAAUACCAAGGCGCUUGAGAGAACUCGGGUGAAGGAACUAGGCAAAAUGGUGCCGUAACUUCGGGAGAAGGCACGCUGAUAUGUAGGUGAAGCGACUUGCUCGUGGAGCUGAAAUCAGUCGAAGAUACCAGCUGGCUGCAACUGUUUAUUAAAAACACAGCACUGUGCAAACACGAAAGUGGACGUAUACGGUGUGACGCCUGCCCGGUGCCGGAAGGUUAAUUGAUGGGGUCAGCGCAAGCGAAGCUCUUGAUCGAAGCCCCGGUAAACGGCGGCCGUAACUAUAACGGUCCUAAGGUAGCGAAAUUCCUUGUCGGGUAAGUUCCGACCUGCACGAAUGGCGUAAUGAUGGCCAGGCUGUCUCCACCCGAGACUCAGUGAAAUUGAACUCGCUGUGAAGAUGCAGUGUACCCGCGGCAAGACGGAAAGACCCCGUGAACCUUUACUAUAGCUUGACACUGAACAUUGAGCCUUGAUGUGUAGGAUAGGUGGGAGGCUUUGAAGUGUGGACGCCAGUCUGCAUGGAGCCGACCUUGAAAUACCACCCUUUAAUGUUUGAUGUUCUAACGUUGACCCGUAAUCCGGGUUGCGGACAGUGUCUGGUGGGUAGUUUGACUGGGGCGGUCUCCUCCUAAAGAGUAACGGAGGAGCACGAAGGUUGGCUAAUCCUGGUCGGACAUCAGGAGGUUAGUGCAAUGGCAUAAGCCAGCUUGACUGCGAGCGUGACGGCGCGAGCAGGUGCGAAAGCAGGUCAUAGUGAUCCGGUGGUUCUGAAUGGAAGGGCCAUCGCUCAACGGAUAAAAGGUACUCCGGGGAUAACAGGCUGAUACCGCCCAAGAGUUCAUAUCGACGGCGGUGUUUGGCACCUCGAUGUCGGCUCAUCACAUCCUGGGGCUGAAGUAGGUCCCAAGGGUAUGGCUGUUCGCCAUUUAAAGUGGUACGCGAGCUGGGUUUAGAACGUCGUGAGACAGUUCGGUCCCUAUCUGCCGUGGGCGCUGGAGAACUGAGGGGGGCUGCUCCUAGUACGAGAGGACCGGAGUGGACGCAUCACUGGUGUUCGGGUUGUCAUGCCAAUGGCACUGCCCGGUAGCUAAAUGCGGAAGAGAUAAGUGCUGAAAGCAUCUAAGCACGAAACUUGCCCCGAGAUGAGUUCUCCCUGACUCCUUGAGAGUCCUGAAGGAACGUUGAAGACGACGACGUUGAUAGGCCGGGUGUGUAAGCGCAGCGAUGCGUUGAGCUAACCGGUACUAAUGAACCGUGAGGCUUAACCUU